Molecule: ribosomal RNA, 459 nt
Filed under: uncultured bacterium
Lineage: Bacteria
Description: partial 16S ribosomal RNA
Rfam family: Bacterial small subunit ribosomal RNA
Source: RNAcentral
CCUACGGGAGGCAGCAGUGAGGAAUAUUGGUCAAUGGUCGGGAGACUGAACCAGCCAAGCCGCGUGAGGGAGGAAGGUACAGAGUAUCGUAAACCUCUUUUGUCAGGGAACAAAGGCGGGGACGUGUCCCCGGAUGAGUGUACCUGAAGAAAAAGCAUCGGCUAACUCCGUGCCAGCAGCCGCGGUAAUACGGAGGAUGCGAGCGUUAUCCGGAUUUAUUGGGUUUAAAGGGUGCGCAGGCGGCCUGUUAAGUCAGCGGUAAAAGCCCGGGGCUCAACCCCGGCGAGCCGUUGAAACUGGCGGGCUGGAGUUGGAGAGAAGUACGCGGAAUGCGUGGUGUAGCGGUGAAAUGCAUAGAUAUCACGCAGAACUCCGAUUGCGAAGGCAGCAUACCGGCGCUCAACUGACGCUCAUGCACGAAAGUGUGGGUAUCGAACAGGAUUAGAUACCCUAGUAGUC